This is a non-coding RNA of Paramuricea clavata, 754 nucleotides long. Lineage: Eukaryota; Metazoa; Cnidaria; Anthozoa; Malacalcyonacea; Plexauridae. The record is from the annotation of a GenBank genome assembly.
GAAAGAAUAUCCGAGGGGAAACGAGGGCAGGGAAGGAAUAUUAAAGUGGGAAAAACAUUUUUUGAAUGAAAUAUCAUCUUUCUCAGAAAAUACUACAUGUGCAAACAUUGUCUACGCAGCAGAACGGAGCCUGGACGACUCAGUGGCAGAAAGUACUGCGUCUGAUAUUAAGUUCUUUGCACUGACAUUUACAAUUAUGGGGAUUUUCAGUGGAAUUAUAAACGGUAGAUGCGCAGAUGCUCGCUUUGGACAUCAACUUUUAGGAUUUGGUGCCCUGUUAUCUAUUUAUUUAGGGGUCACAGCCGCACUUGGCUUCUUAAUGCUAAUCGGCGUUCCCUUUGUUAGUAUGGUUGGUAUUCUGCCAUUCUUGGUCGUCAGUAUUGGUAUAGAUGAUGUGUUUAUUAUUCUUCAUGAGCUGAACGAAAUGGUUCAUCAAAAUAUUCCUGCUAAGUAUAUGCUUAGUGGCACAAUGGCUAAAAGUGGACCAACUAUAACCAUGACGACCCUCACUGAUCUCGUAGCAUUCGCCGUUAGCUGUCGUUCUAUCUUUCCCGCGAUUCGUUUGUUUUGCACAUACGCAGCGCUGGCGAUUGGGUCUGCAUUUUUUAUGCUGGUGACGUUUUUCGUUGGUUGCAUGUGGUUUGAUAUCAAACGAAUCAACGCUCAACGUCGAGAUUUCGUGCCUUGUUUGAUGAGUCCUCCUCCCACCGACUGCUGUUCUGGUAUUCGGGCUAAUGGAUUUGACAACGUAAUG